AUGUGCUUUGUAAACCGAUACUUGCAGGACUUGGAAAUUGCCACCACAAGGACAUCGACGAGACAGCCACAUGCUGCGAAGCCAAGAACUCAAACAUGGAUCCCACCCGGGGGAAACGCGGCGAAAAUUAAUGCUGAUGGUGCUAUUUCCUGCGAGGGUACGACGGGAGCUGCAGCCGCUGUUUGCAGGGAUCAACAUGGCAAUUACCUUGGAGCAUCUGCGGUGGUAUUUGAUGGGUUGGUUGACGCUCCAUGCCUGGAAGCUCAAGCAUGCAAUGAGGCUCUUGCCCUAGCGCAAGACUUGAUUCUGACACAUGCAAUAAUAGCGUUUGAUUGCAUCCAGGUUAUACAAGACAUCAACGGAGCUUCGAGUUCUUCUUCUUAUGCUUUAGUUUUGAAUGAAAUUAGAGAUAGAGCUACAGAUUUUGUUAGCAUUACUUUUCGGUUUGAGAACAGGGAGGCAAACUUUGAAGCACAUGCCUUGGCAAAGGCGGCUUCGUCACUCCCUGCUGGGCGCCACCUGUGGCUAGGGAACUCACCAGACAUUAUUUGUAUUCCUUCUGUGAUUGUUGAAUAA
This 576-nucleotide ribosomal RNA is filed under the name Triticum aestivum (bread wheat). RNAcentral describes it as "partial small subunit ribosomal RNA". Lineage: Eukaryota; Viridiplantae; Streptophyta; Magnoliopsida; Poales; Poaceae. The record is from RNAcentral.